RNAcentral lists this transfer RNA (74 nucleotides) under Centruroides sculpturatus (bark scorpion). RNAcentral describes it as "tRNA-Ile". It matches the Rfam family "tRNA". Rfam says of the family: Transfer RNA (tRNA) molecules are approximately 80 nucleotides in length. The record is from RNAcentral. Lineage: Eukaryota; Metazoa; Arthropoda; Arachnida; Scorpiones; Buthidae.
GGCUUGUUAGCUCAGUCGGUUAGAGCGUCGUGCUAAUAACGCGAAGGUCGUGGGUUCGAUCCCCACACGAGCCA